Molecule: ribosomal RNA, 251 nt
Filed under: uncultured prokaryote
Description: partial 16S ribosomal RNA
Rfam family: Bacterial small subunit ribosomal RNA
Source: RNAcentral
ACGAAGGGGGCUAGCGUUGUUCGGAAUAACUGGGCGUAAAGCGCGCGUAGGCGGGCUGUUAAGUCAGGGGUGAAAUCCCGGGGCUCAACCCCGGAACUGCCUUUGAUACUGGCAGCCUAGAGUUCGAGAGAGGUGAGUGGAAUUCCGAGUGUAGCAGUGAAAUGCGUAGAUAUGCGGAGGAACACCGAUGGCGAAGGCAGCCUCCUGGGCCAGUACUGACGCUCAUGCACGAAAGCGUGGGGAGCAAACAG